UUGGGUCCAUAGGUACUUUUUGUUUCUGUUGAGAUUUAUAAGCUAGCAUGUUCAGUUAUUGUUAUUAUCACAUGAUUUUAUUUUAUAGACGUUUAAGAUAUGGGUUAUAUUUAGUAAAAUUAAUUUAUUAAAUUAUAAGUGUUUGAUAAAAUUAAUUGUUAAAAGACAUUUGAUACUCGAAUGAUGAUGUCUUAAAAAGAGACUUUUUCAUUCUUCCAAAUCUCUUCUAAUCUAUUGAACCUUGCUAACUUGAAAGUUUGCAACUUGAUCACAUUUCAACUUGAUCACAUUUCCUAGGUAGACCAAAUUAUGUAUGAUUAUUUGAUUUAGUCUAUUUCUAUGGGUGGUGUUAAGAAUGCAAUGUUUAUUGAGUUAUUACAAAGCUCCUAGGGUGGAUGGCUUU
This 403-nucleotide long non-coding RNA is filed under the name Glycine max (soybean). Its description in RNAcentral is "long non-coding RNA (GMAX_LNC001253)". The record is from RNAcentral. Lineage: Eukaryota; Viridiplantae; Streptophyta; Magnoliopsida; Fabales; Fabaceae.